UUGAAAGACGAUGGAGAGAGGAACUUAAUAUUUUUCUUCUGUUCUUCAUGUUUAAUGGGAGAUACUUUCCUUUAAAAGAAGUCAGUGAUGUACCACAAGGCAUGAGACUUCCAGAGGUUCUCAAUCAAAGUUAUCAACGCUGGGGUUUGUGUAUCCCACCCUGUCCACACCAGUCCACAAACAAGGUCUCUGAGAAGACAGAAAGAAACAAAGAUACUACAGGGCAGCAACUGGAGCUACUGCAUGACCACAGGAAGGUGGAGCACCACAUUAACCUGCAAUUCCAUUCUCUACUUGAGCUACAUUACAAAAACAUGCAAUGCUCCAGAGACAGAACUGUGUGAGUAGGUUGAAAACAUUCCUUUUGUUUGUUUGCUCAUUUCUUGCCUCCAAGCAGGGACUCAUUGUGGCUGCUGAGAUAUGUGUGCACAUUUUGAACUAGUGUUUUCCUGUUAAAAAUACAUUCAACAAGGUGAAACCCUAUGAGUGAGGAGGUAUUGAGAGAGACAUUCAUGAAGUCUAAGGAGAUUCACUCA
Molecule: long non-coding RNA, 536 nt
Organism: Cyanistes caeruleus (blue tit)
Lineage: Eukaryota; Metazoa; Chordata; Aves; Passeriformes; Paridae
Source: RefSeq, a predicted model, not a curated record